Molecule: ribosomal RNA, 253 nt
Filed under: uncultured bacterium
Lineage: Bacteria
Description: partial 16S ribosomal RNA
Rfam family: Bacterial small subunit ribosomal RNA
Source: RNAcentral
UACGUAGGGUCCGAGCGUUGUCCGGAAUUACUGGGCGUAAAGAGCUCGUAGGUGGUUUGUCGCGUUGUCCGUGAAAACUCACAGCUCAACUGUGGGCGUGCGGGCGAUACGGGCAGACUGGAGUACUGCAGGGGAGACUGGAAUUUACGGUGUAGCAGUGAAAUGCGUAGAGAUCGUAAGGAAGGCCGGUGGCGAAGGCGAGUUCCUGGACAGUUACUGACGCUGAGGCACGAAGGCCAGGGGAGCAAACGGG